CCUACGGGGGGCUGCAGUGGGGAAUAUUGGGCAAUGGAGGCAACUCUGACCCAGCAACGCCGCGUGAAUGAUGAAGGUCUUCGGAUUGUAAAGUUCUUUUCUAAGGGCAGAAGAAAGUGACGGUACCUUAGCAAUAAGCCUCGGCUAACUACGUGCCAGCAGCCGCGGUAAUACGGAGGAGGCAAGCGUUAUCCGGAAUGACUGGGCGUAAAGGGUGCGUAGGUGGUUUGACAAGUUAGUAGCGCAACUCCGGGGCUCAACUUCGGAACUACUACUAAAACUGUUGGACUUGAGUGCAGGUGGGGCAAUCGGAAUUCCUGGUGUAGCGGUGGAAUGCGUAGAUAUUAGGAGGAACACCAGUGGCGAAGGCGGAUUGCUAGACUGUAACUGACACUGAGGCACGAAAGCGUGGGGAGCAAACAGGAUUAGAUACCCCAGUAGUC
This 443-nucleotide ribosomal RNA is filed under the name uncultured bacterium. Its description in RNAcentral is "partial 16S ribosomal RNA". It matches the Rfam family "Bacterial small subunit ribosomal RNA", at positions 338 to 795 of the family's 1533-position model. The record is from RNAcentral.